This 495-nucleotide ribosomal RNA is filed under the name uncultured bacterium. Its description in RNAcentral is "partial 16S ribosomal RNA". It matches the Rfam family "Bacterial small subunit ribosomal RNA", at positions 28 to 507 of the family's 1533-position model. The record is from RNAcentral.
GACGAACGCUGGCGGCGUGCCUAAUACAUGCAAGUAGAACGCUGAAGGAGGAGCUUGCUUCUCUGGAUGAGUUGCGAACGGGUGAGUAACGCGUAGGUAACCUGCCUGGUAGCGGGGGAUAACUAUUGGAAACGAUAGCUAAUACCGCAUAAUAGUAGAUGUUGCAUGACAUUUGCCUAAAAGGUGCAAUUGCAUCACUACCAGAUGGACCUGCGUUGUAUUAGCUAGUUGGUGGGGUAACGGCUCACCAAGGCGACGAUACAUAGCCGACCUGAGAGGGGGAUCGGCCACACUGGGACUGAGACACGGCCCAGACUCCUACGGGAGGCAGCAGGAGGGAAUCUUCGGCAAUGGACGGAAGUCUGACCGAGCAACGCCGCGUGAGUGAAGAAGGGUUUCGGAUCGUAAAGAUCUGUUGUAAGAGAAGAACGAGUGUGAGAGUGGAAAGUUCACACUGUGACGGUAUCUUACCAGAAAGGGACGGCUAACUACGUG